Molecule: transfer RNA, 71 nt
Filed under: Agrobacterium salinitolerans
Lineage: Bacteria; Pseudomonadati; Pseudomonadota; Alphaproteobacteria; Hyphomicrobiales; Rhizobiaceae
Description: tRNA-His
Rfam family: tRNA
About the family: Transfer RNA (tRNA) molecules are approximately 80 nucleotides in length. Their secondary structure includes four short double-helical elements and three loops (D, anti-codon, and T loops).
Source: RNAcentral
GUGGGCGUAGCUCAAUGGUAGAGCGACCGAUUGUGAAUCGGUUGACGCGGGUUCAAUCCCCGUCGUCCACC